Molecule: ribosomal RNA, 446 nt
Filed under: uncultured Glomus
Lineage: Eukaryota; Fungi; Glomeromycota; Glomeromycetes; Glomerales; Glomeraceae
Description: SSU rRNA
Rfam family: Eukaryotic small subunit ribosomal RNA
Source: RNAcentral
GGGUUAGUAGGUUGGUCAUGCCUCUGGUAUGUACUGGUCUCACUGAUUCCUCCUUCCUGAUGAACCUUAAUGCCAUUAAUUUGGUGUUUUGGGGAAUUUGGACUGUUACUUUGAAAAAAUUAGAGUGUUUAAAGCAAGCUAACGCUUGAAUACAUUAGCAUGGAAUAAUGAAAUAGGACGUUCGAUCCUAUUUUGUUGGUUUCUAGGAUUGACGUAAUGAUUAAUAGGGAUAGUUGGGGGCAUUAGUAUUCAAUUGUCAGAGGUGAAAUUCUUGGAUUUAUUGAAGACUAACUACUGCGAAAGCAUUUGCCAAGGAUGUUUUCAUUAAUCAAGAACGAAAGUUAGGGGAUCGAAGACGAUCAGAUACCGUCGUAGUCUUAACCAUAAACUAUGCCGACUAGGGAUCGGAUGAUGUUAAUUUUUUAAUGACUCAUUCGGCACCUUAC